Molecule: long non-coding RNA, 169 nt
Organism: Lonchura striata (white-rumped munia)
Lineage: Eukaryota; Metazoa; Chordata; Aves; Passeriformes; Estrildidae
Source: RefSeq, a predicted model, not a curated record
AAGGAAACCAGACUACAAAGACAAAGGUGAAAUUCAUUCUUUAAGUUCCCUCUGAGAUAUAACCCUGUGGUUCAGGCAAUGUUUUCCCCUGCUCCCAAAUGAGACUUUGUGGCAGAACAAUGGGUAGCUCAGGAGAAGAAGGAUGCUCUUGCUGAAUGGUUACUGGGGU